AACGCGAAGAACCUUACCAACCCUUGACAUCCUGUGCUACUUCCAGAGAUGGAUGGUUGCCUUCGGGGACGCAGUGACAGGUGCUGCAUGGCUGUCGUCAGCUCGUGUCGUGAGAUGUUGGGUUAAGUCCGGCAACGAGCGCAACCCACAUCCCUAGUUGCCAGCAGUUCGGCUGGGCACUCUAUGGAAACUGCCCGUGAUAAGCGGGAGGAAGGUGUGGAUGACGUCAAGUCCUCAUGGCCCUUACGGGUUGGGCUACACACGUGCUACAAUGGUAGUGACAAUGGGUUAAUCCCAAAAAGCUAUCUCAGUUCGGAUUGUCGUCUGCAACUCGACGGCAUGAAGUCGGAAUCGCUAGUAAUCGCGUAACAGCAUGACGCGGUGAAUACGUUCCCGGGCCUUGUACACACCG
RNAcentral lists this ribosomal RNA (412 nucleotides) under uncultured bacterium. Its description in RNAcentral is "bacterial SSU rRNA". It matches the Rfam family "Bacterial small subunit ribosomal RNA", at positions 958 to 1392 of the family's 1533-position model. The record is from RNAcentral.